Long non-coding RNA from Sarcophilus harrisii (Tasmanian devil), 1094 nucleotides. RefSeq lists it as uncharacterized. The transcript has 3 exons. NCBI's taxonomy places the organism in Eukaryota, Metazoa, Chordata, Mammalia, Dasyuromorphia, Dasyuridae. The record is from RefSeq and is a predicted model, not a curated record.
GUCAGCAUCAAGCUCUGGACUUAGAGCAAACCUUUGAUUUCCAUGAUGGCACCAGGGGGAGGAAGCUUUGUCAUAGAGGAAGAGACAUAGAGCUAAGAAGAGAGGGCCAUUCAAUAGAUCACAAAGGAAUGCCUCCAUCACAUGGAUUGCUAUAUUUCCAUCUGUUGAAUGUGUUGAAACUCUACAAACUCUUUCUUGGACAUCCCAUGAGGAAGCAGAAAGUCUUGUGUUUGAGAUGACUGAGUAGGAAUUACAAGAUGAACUUUCUAGCCUUGGAACAACUUUAUGAAUUUUAUAAGUCAGGAACUCAUCGAUGCUUCAAUUGGAGUUGACUAGUAAGAAGAGAAAGAGUUUUCUGCAUUAAUAUCCUUUUCAGAGAUAACAAUCACUCCUGUGAAGAUGAGUCCCAGCUAUAACCUGGCUUGCUAAGAAAUCUGGACGAUGGAGGAGUUCUUUGUGCUUUGCAAAGACAAGAUUCAACAUCACCUGUCCCUUCACUGGAUCUUCAUUUUACAUUACCUUAAGGUCCUCUCUCCUCUCUGGCUUUUCAAUGUCCUCCCUCAAAUGUUGUGUAUAGACUUUUACGUUGUCUCUUCUUGUCCCCCCUUCCUCCCACCUUUCUGGCCUUUCUGUGAUGUCUCUUUCUUUGAAAUGAUGAUAAUGGCAUAUAAGUGACUGAAAAAUAAAUCGUAUUUCAAACCGGACCACCAAAGUACAAACACAUUUCUCUUUUGGUCUAUUAAGUCAUAGAUUUCAAGAGCAAUAAAAGUGUGUAUUUUAAUUUUUUUUAUUGUUCCCCUCCCUUCAAUGCUGGGAGUGUCUGGCUUAGCUGGGAGCAAAGUGUUGGUCAUAGCUACAGAACAUCACCCCUUUGAUCAAUGCCAACAGCAGUCAUAAGAGGUGGUAUUGUGAGCUGGCCUUAGAAUUAGGAAUACCUGUGUUCAUUGUCUCCUACCCCUGUGAGUCUAGGGGACUCACGUUCCCUCUCAAUGCUCCCUAUGACCCACCUAUAAAAUACAGACUAGUUGCUAAUCUUCAUUGGUCAAAGUGAGUUUUCUAUACCAAUAAAAUUAGAUGUUUCUAAAUUACAUGUU